AGGUCCUGGAGCUCUCCUCUGCUAACCUGAACCAACCAGUCCAUUAAGCUGAGAGCUGCCCUGUCUGAAACACCAUUCCUCAAAUUCGGGCCUUCAGAAGACUCAACCAUCUGAAUUUGGAAUAUCACAAGUCCUGAGUCUGAACCUACUGAUGCUACAGGAGAGGUACUCCCCUUCUAUGAGCCUGACAGCUGUUUCUGUGCAGGCAUGGAACUCAUUUUGUGAACCACACUGGCCUGAAACUCAGAAAAUCCAAAUGUUUCUGCCUCCUGAGUGCUUGUUUUAGAGGUGUGCGGCAGCCAUCAACAGCUGAAGGUGGAUAUCACUUCAAGUGAUCCAGGGUAAAAUCAUGUACUAAAUUUAUAUGAUGGAAUAAAGAAAGCAUCUUCAACAAAUGUUUCUGGCAUAACUGGAUGCUGGCAAGUAGAAGACUGCAGAUAGAUCCAUGUCUAUCACCAUGCAUAAAAUAUUAUGGGAAAGGCACAGAUAUCCUGAAUAAUUUUGGAGCAUGGGGAAGAAGGUGGUUGGUAUGAGAAAGAAGAGGGGAGAAGAGGAGGUGAUAGGAGAACAUGAGGGAUCAGGAAGAUUGAUUCUGUGGAAGAAUAAAUUAGAGCAAGAAAAGAGAUACCUUAAUAGAGGCAUAAAUUAUAGGUUUAAUGAGAAAUAUGGUACUAGGCAAACGUCCAGGGAUCCACAAGGAAAAUCCCAGGUAACAAUCUAAGCAACAGUGGAGAAGCUACCUUAAAUGCACUUCCCCUAUAUUGUGAUUGAU
RNAcentral lists this long non-coding RNA (772 nucleotides) under Cricetulus griseus (Chinese hamster). RNAcentral's name for it is "lncRNA (ENSCGRG00015042938.1)". The record is from RNAcentral. Lineage: Eukaryota; Metazoa; Chordata; Mammalia; Rodentia; Cricetidae.